UUGACUUUUGACCUCUUUUCUGGAUCUUAGCUCCAAAAGAGAACGUAAACUGUAACAACCUAAGACCUCACCCAAAAUGGCUAGCUGGAAAGUAUUAUUUAGGUUCCUUGAUCCUGUAUAAAUACCCAAGAUCUACCCAGCGAAUAACCGAUGUGGAACUAAACACACGCCCGUAUGGAUCCUCAGAUACUCCCUCGUUCAAGUCCUGACGUCCUUGUCAGGCUAAGGGUUCAAAUCUAAUCACA
This 245-nucleotide long non-coding RNA is filed under the name Phoenix dactylifera (date palm). RNAcentral describes it as "long non-coding RNA (PDAC_LNC021560)". Lineage: Eukaryota; Viridiplantae; Streptophyta; Magnoliopsida; Arecales; Arecaceae. The record is from RNAcentral.